Molecule: ribosomal RNA, 398 nt
Filed under: uncultured bacterium
Lineage: Bacteria
Description: partial 16S ribosomal RNA
Rfam family: Bacterial small subunit ribosomal RNA
Source: RNAcentral
GAAUCUUAGACAAUGGGGGAAACCCUGAUCUAGCCAUGCCGCGUGAUCGAUGAAGGCCUUAGGGUUGUAAAGAUCUUUCAGCUGGGAAGAUAAUGACGGUACCAGCAGAAGAAGCCCCGGCUAACUCCGUGCCAGCAGCCGCGGUAAUACGGAGGGGGCUAGCGGUAUUCGGAGUUACUGGGCGUAAAGCGCACGUAGGAGGGGAAAAAAGUUUGGGGUGAAAUCCCGGGGGUCAACCCCGGAACUUCCCCUAAAACUCCUGGUCUUGAGGUCGAGGGAGGGGAGGUGAAUUCCGAGUGUAGAGGUGAAAUUCGUUGAUAUUCGGAGGAACACCAGUUGCGAAGGCGGCUCACUGGCUCGAUACUGACGCUGGAGUUCGAAAGCGUGGGGAGCAAACA